UUGGCUAAUUUCCAUCAUGCACCCUAGCCUGAUAACUGUUGGAUUUGCCACGUCAAUUAAUGAGGCUAGAUCUAAUGCUCCGUGUUUUUUCUGAUUUUAUUUCUUUUUUAUUUUUUAUUUCAAAUUGAAUUUUCUUUUAAAAUUCAUAGUAAAUUCAUUUUACAUCCAAAAGAUCCCAAAAUAAUUUCUAAAAUUCUCUUUCAUUU
This 206-nucleotide long non-coding RNA is filed under the name Lathyrus oleraceus (garden pea). RNAcentral describes it as "Pisum sativum (pea) long non-coding RNA (PSAT_LNC016156)". The record is from RNAcentral. Lineage: Eukaryota; Viridiplantae; Streptophyta; Magnoliopsida; Fabales; Fabaceae.